GCAUAUCAAUAAGCGGAGGAAAAGAAACCAACCGGGAUUGCCUUAGUAACGGCGAGUGAAGCGGCAAAAGCUCAAAUUUGAAAUCUGGCGUCUUCGACGUCCGAGUUGUAAUUUGAAGAAGGCGACUUUGUAGCUGGUCCUUGUCUAUGUUCCUUGGAACAGGACGUCAUAGAGGGUGAGAAUCCCGUGUGGCGAGGAGUGCGGUUCUUUGUAAAGUGCCUUCGAAGAGUCGAGUUGUUUGGGAAUGCAGCUCUAAGCGGGUGGUAAAUUCCAUCUAAAGCUAAAUAUUGGCGAGAGACCGAUAGCGAACAAGUACAGUGAUGGAAAGAUGAAAAGAACUUUGAAAAGAGAGUGAAAAAGUACGUGAAAUUGUUGAAAGGGAAGGGCAUUUGAUCAGACAUGGUGUUUUGUGCCCUCUGCUCCUUGUGGGUAGGGGAAUCUCGCAUUUCACUGGGCCAGCAUCAGUUUUGGUGGCAGGAUAAAUCCAUAGGAAUGUAGCUUGCCUCGGUAAGUAUUAUAGCCUGUGGGAAUACUGCCAGCUGGGACUGAGGACUGCGACGUAAGUCAAGGAUGCUGGCAUAAUGGUUAUAUGCCGCCCGUCUUGAAACACGGACC
Molecule: ribosomal RNA, 615 nt
Filed under: uncultured yeast
Lineage: Eukaryota; Fungi
Description: eukaryotic LSU rRNA
Rfam family: Eukaryotic large subunit ribosomal RNA
Source: RNAcentral